AGUCACUGACAUUAGAUACCCCUGUAGUCCAGGGUGUAAACGCUGCAGACUUGGUGUUGGAAGCCCUUUGGGGCAUUCAGUGCCGGAGAGAAGUUGUUAAGUCUGCUACUUGGGAGUACGUCCGCAAGGAUGAAACUUAAAGGAAUUGGCGGGGGAGCACCGCAACGGGAGGAGCGUGCGGUUUAAUUGGAUUCAACACCGUAAACUCACCAGGGAAGACUGUUACAUGAAGGCCGAGAUGAAGACUCUGCUAGAUUUUCAG
RNAcentral lists this ribosomal RNA (262 nucleotides) under uncultured archaeon. Its description in RNAcentral is "partial 16S ribosomal RNA". It matches the Rfam family "Archaeal small subunit ribosomal RNA", at positions 718 to 982 of the family's 1478-position model. The record is from RNAcentral.